GUAAAGUUUUAUUUUAGCUUGGGGUUUUGGUUAAAUUAAAUUUCAUAUGUAAGUUAAGCAUGGGGGGGGUUUAUUUUAAAAAAGUAAAUUUUGUUUAAUUUAUUCGCAGUGGAGAAAUUUAAAUAUCAGUGAGAGCUGGAUUUGGGUAUAAUUUAUAGUAUUGACUAAAUUUGUGCCAGCAGUUGCGGUUAUACUUAUAAUACAACUUAAUUUUUUUGGAUAUUAGUUAGCUUAAAAUGGUAAAUUUGAAUUUUGGAUUUAUGGGGUGGAAUCUUAAAUUUAUUGGGAAAAUUUAUUUUUGUUGGUGAAGCUAAGAAAUUUUUUUUGAAACUAGGAUUAGAUACCCUAUUAUUAGAAAUGUGAAGUUUACUUAUUCUAGAAUAGUAGUAGUUAUGUUCUUGAAAAUUAAAAAUUUUGGCGGUAUUUUAGUCCAUUCAGAGGAACCUGUCCUGUAAUCGAUAGUCCACGAUUAACUAAACUUUUUUUAUUUGGUUUAUAUAUCGUCGUGGCUUGAAUAUUUUUGUAGAAGUUUAAUAUUCAUGAUUUUAUUUAUAAAGGAUAUCAGAUCAAGGUGUAGCUAAUAGGGAAGGAGAGAUGGGUUACAUUAAAUUUAUUUUAUGAUGAAAUUAUUGAAAGUUUUUAGGAUUUCGGAUUUGAAAGUAAUUUUAAUUAUUUAAUUAAGAUGAUUAAGGCUCUAAAAUAUGCACAUAUCGCCCGUCGCUUUCAUCCCAAGGUGGAAUAAGUCGUAACAAAGUAGGCUUACUGGAAAGUGAGCCUAGAUAG
Molecule: non-coding RNA, 783 nt
Filed under: Howea angulata
Lineage: Eukaryota; Metazoa; Arthropoda; Insecta; Coleoptera; Cerambycidae
Source: RNAcentral